GCCUGUCUUGAACAGGAUGAACUUUCCCGUGCUUUUUAGAACAUAGAUGGCACCAGUCAGGUGACCAUCGAAACGUAAUACGCCACGGAAUUACUUCGGUAAUCGGAUUGGUAUGGCAAGGUUCGCCGUCCACGUUUCUCUUUCUUCAAGAAGGAUAUAAACCUUUGGUUUGCGCUCACGUGCUGUUGCCCCUUUGGGGCUGCACUCCGCGGGGGCGCCGGACGACCGGCGACGGCUCGCUGAGCCUGUAUGGGUGUCCAAUUGGACGCUUGAUACGCUCGGUAAGAUGGGCCCGUAGCUCAGUUGGUUAGAGCACACGCUUGAUAAGCGUGGGGUCGGAAGUUCAAGUCUUCCCGGGCCCACCAUUGGUUUGCUGAAUUUACCUGAUCCCUGGCGGUUUUGCUGUCGGGUGUUUGCGAUGGUUGGGGCUGUAGCUCAGCUGGGAGAGCACCUGCUUUGCAAGCAGGGGGUCAGCGGUUCGAUCCCGCUCAGCUCCACCAAUCGCGGAACGCGGUUUUGGUGUGUAGCGCGGGAAUAUCCUUCUGAAGAAAUAAAAGUUUGCAUCGUCUGAGAGGACUGAUGCCUGUUCUGAAUACAUUGUGAAGAGAAGAUAUGUCUGGAAGCUUCCAGGUGUUUUGAGCCCUUGUGGUUUGAAACGUCCGAGCCCAGUCCCAGAGAAACCAUGUGAUGGCUUAGUCGGCCGGAAUUGGCGGAGGGAUUGGAGGUAGGUAGGAAAGCUUGUCCGAGGCAUUUUUGUUGUUUGAAGGUUUAGGCCUUCAUCUGAUGGGAAUGCUGGAUUGAUGUUGCCUGACCGCGCAUCACCGGAUGAUAUCUCGAGAAGCUGGUCUUAAUGGUAUGGCUUCGAGGUGCACCGGCGUGCCCUCAAUGAAGACCGUACCGACACGUCGAUGUCAUCAGGAAAGACUUGAUUGUAAAAGGUAAUCAGGUUGCCGUUCCUUUGGAGCGGCUAUGGAUGAGCAUAGACAAUGAGAACGAAGAAGUGAAUUAAGGGCAUUUGGUGGAUGCCUUGGCAUGCACAGGCGAAGAAGGACGUGAUACGCUGCGAAAAGCCG
RNAcentral lists this transfer RNA (1073 nucleotides) under Rhizobium sp. RNAcentral describes it as "partial contains 16S-23S ribosomal RNA intergenic spacer and 23S ribosomal RNA". The stretch from base 289 to 362 matches the Rfam family "tRNA". The record is from RNAcentral. Lineage: Bacteria; Pseudomonadati; Pseudomonadota; Alphaproteobacteria; Hyphomicrobiales; Rhizobiaceae.